UGUAUCGGAAGCCUGACGAGGAUGAGAACCUCCGGGGGCAAGAGGUUCGACUCGAGCGCAGCGAGAGAACGUUGCUUCAGCAACGGCCCGCAGGGCGAGCCACGCAGUGGCGAGUCAUCCUCUAUCACCGACCA
This 134-nucleotide small RNA is filed under the name Salmonella enterica. RNAcentral's name for it is "RtT sRNA". It matches the Rfam family "RtT RNA". Rfam says of the family: This family represents a bacterial cis-regulatory element known as RtT RNA. The exact function of RtT is unknown although it is thought that it may be involved in changing the cellular response in relation to amino acid starvation. RNAcentral also lists the same sequence under 7 other names. Lineage: Bacteria; Pseudomonadati; Pseudomonadota; Gammaproteobacteria; Enterobacterales; Enterobacteriaceae. The record is from RNAcentral.